UGAUUUACCAAAAAAGUGACU
RNAcentral lists this non-coding RNA (21 nucleotides) under Caenorhabditis elegans. Lineage: Eukaryota; Metazoa; Nematoda; Chromadorea; Rhabditida; Rhabditidae. The record is from RNAcentral.